This 492-nucleotide ribosomal RNA is filed under the name uncultured bacterium. RNAcentral describes it as "partial 16S ribosomal RNA". It matches the Rfam family "Bacterial small subunit ribosomal RNA", at positions 29 to 507 of the family's 1533-position model. The record is from RNAcentral.
AGUGAACGCUGGCGGUAGGCCUAACACAUGCAAGUCGAACGGCAGCACAGUAAGAGCUUGCUCUUACGGGUGGCGAGUGGCGGACGGGUGAGGAAUACAUCGGAAUCUACUUGUUCGUGGGGGAGAACGUAGGGAAACUUACGCUAAUACCGCAUACGACCUACGGGUGAAAGCAGGGGAUCUUCGGACCUUGCGCGAUUGAAUGAGCCGAUGUCGGAUUAGCUAGUUGGCGGGGUAAAGGCCCACCAAGGCGACGAUCCGUAGCUGGUCUGAGAGGAUGAUCAGCCACACUGGAACUGAGACACGGUCCAGACUCCUACGGGAGGCAGCAGUGGGGAAUAUUGGACAAUGGGCGCAAGCCUGAUCCAGCCAUACCGAGUGGGUGAAGAAGGCCUUCGGGUUGUAAAGCCAUUUUGUUGGGAAAGAAAAGCAGCAGGUUAAUACCCCGCUGUUCUGACGGUACCCAAAGAAUAAGCACCGGCUAACUUCGUG